RNA transcript from Oncorhynchus kisutch (coho salmon), 2608 nucleotides. It is a transcript of the gene named phospholemman-like, with no coding region annotated. The transcript has 5 exons. Lineage: Eukaryota; Metazoa; Chordata; Actinopteri; Salmoniformes; Salmonidae. The record is from RefSeq and is a predicted model, not a curated record.
UGCCGCAUUACAGGAGGAGAGACCUGUUAGCGCAUUCCUCCCCUCUCAGUCUCCCACGCCUCCUCGGGGCAUAUUGAUAGUAGGCUACUCGAGUGCGGUAGAAUACCGUCGGCAGUGGAAGGCACAUUUUUCUUCACGGCCUGGGGGAUACCUCAAUAGACUGAGGCUGCAGCAUUGAAUAGCCUAUAACCGAAUGCAGUGCCUGUGCAUCACCACCAGAGGACUCUCGUGCGUUCUAAGUGUUUGUGCAAUUGACUUUAUUGAGCCGCAGUUUCCUUUUCUUCUUAUCCUACUCCACACCUCAAAAGUGCGCGUCUUCCCAUUUUCUGUCCGCUGACCUGAAAACCUGCAUCGGGGCGCAAGAGAAACUCAGCAGACAAAGACAGUAUAUCCACACUGCAGUCAUGUCAACUGAAGGAUCGAUUUUACAUGAUCAAAGUGACUUCGAAUAUGAUUAUGAGACACUUCGAACUACAGGGGUCAUCAUUGGUGUGAUCUUGUUUGUGUCGGGUAUCCUAAUAGCUCUUAGUAAAAAACUCACAUGCUCAAAAUCGUCUUCCAAGUAAGAGUUUGUACAUGGCUUGGCAGUUGCUCCGCCUGUGCAUGUGGAAUGCAUCAGACUUUGGAAGAGGAGUCCCCACCAAAUACAGGAUGGCUUUACUAAUACUAUUUUACUGUUACCGUGUCUGUCCUUUCCCCCUCUCUCCCUUCCACAGUGGAGCCCAUGUCUGAAUGCUGCCUAUUGGUUAAGAUAUUACAGUCCCGCCCUCCCUCUCUAAAUCCAACAAUACUGCCCACCCAGUCAACUAAUUAAGCAGUCACCCUUAUACAGAGCAUCAUAUUACUGUCAAAUAUCUCAAGAUAGUCUAGUAGUCUAACUCUGAAAAUCAAGUGUUCUUGUCAAACAAGCAAUAUUAAGGAAAUGUCCUGCAUUAGGGCUUUUUGGGGCCCCUGGUUGAGAAAGGGGGCUGUUGUUGCAUGGGUUGGCAGUGUGGAUGGAUGUCCUCAAAGAGUGUAUGUUUACAGCCAAUGGCAUGCUGACCCAGUCUCUCCCUCUCGCCUACCCUUUGAGAGAGGACACUGAUUGGGAAGAUCCUGACAGAUCACUGCAUUUUGCCCCAAAUUGAAUCCUAUGAUUGUCAAAGCUUUGUGGCCCCAGCCCCUUCUGUGCAUGGAUACAGUUGACCUAAUCCAUCUAAAAUACCUUCUCUUUGGUCAGAACACACAUGAUCUUGGUUACAUUGUGGUUGUUUCCACAAAGCUUUGAGGAGAACUGAACUGUCGGAACUAUCCAGGAUUGCUUCCUUUAAUUCCCUUUCUCUCCUUGUGUCAGAGUGAAUAACUGUUCUCUUGUCUUCUCGUCUUCAGCUCUAAUACAGCAGGCACCCAAAUACCAAAGACAGAUGUGCCACCUCCAACAGUAUAGGCGAAGUGUACAUGGAGGCGAGGGAGAGUCAUCAUGGGAGGUGCCGCUGAGAGGCCAACACACACACUCACUUGUUUAUGGCUGACACACACCAGCGCCCAUUGGAACAUCAAGUAAUGGUGCACACCCAGCCCAAGCUGACCAGAAGAAUGACGGAAUUGUCAUUCUUGAUUUAAAUUAAAUGUAUAUCAAGCCAAGAUGAAGAUUUGACUCUUAAACGUCUUUGUUACUUGUGUAUUAGGUGCUAUCAAUCUACCUUGCCCAGCAAAAAAACAUACCUGGCACAAGAUCAGCUUUCAGGUGCGCUGUAAAUGUAUACCAUGAUGUGGGUAGUGUUGAAACAGAACUGAAUGCUGUGCUCUCUCUGUUCCUUGCUUUUGACUUCAUGCACACACAAGACAGUUGAUUGCAUGUCUCGUUUUACUGUAUAGUACUCUCAAUGCACUUUAGAAAUCUACAACUUUAUUAUCCAGUUGUGUGAGAGGUCUUUAACGUUUAGGAUUUCACAUUGGACCUGUAUUAACAACCUCAAGCAUGAAUUAAGAUAUCAAACCAACCCCAUUAUCCCACUGUUUUACUGAAGGUUGGCUCAGGAUCUAUCUGCUGUCAUUUUUGAUGUGGAUAAUGGGUGGAUUGUCGUGGGUGGUUGUGUUCUAGGUAGCAAUGAGAAGAAUGUCAACCCCAUGUCUAAUGUUAAUUUUACAGCAAUUUGAAACAGAAGCAGGAAUGAAGUCUCCUGUCAUUCUUUGGGGUCUGUAAGAGGGUGCCACCAGUAUAGUAUUGUAUGUCAAUGGCCUUUUUCUUUCUCCUAAUGCAUUCUAAGUUACAUUGCACGAGUAGAAUCAUUCAAAGCACUAAAAAGGUAUUACCUUGGGUUGAAGGAACGGGCAUUUUAAAAGUGUUUGAGUUUAAGCUUAAUGAAAAGGUCAAUACAUUAAGAUAAGAAGGCACAGCAACUACCUGCAAAUAAACGGUCUGUAUUAUCAUUAUUUAGUGCUGUUUCUAACUUGCUGAAAGUACAAUGUCUGUUAUCUUCAGCUCUUUUUAUUUACCGGUAUGUAGCACUAGUAAUCCCUGAUACUGAGCCAAUGGCGUAACAGUUAACCAAAAGCAAAUGAGUGAUUCUCACCAGAGCUAACUAAUAAGACUGCUGCAAUAAAAAUUACCCUGUAUACAAUGGUC